GACGAACGCUGGCGGCGUGCUUAACACAUGCAAGUCGAACGGAAAGGCCUGCUUUCCCUUGUGGAUUGCGGGUACUCGAGUGGCGAACGGGUGAGUAACACGUGAGUGAUCUGCCCCCAACUUUGGUAUAAGCCUGGGAAACUGGGUCUAAUUCCCGAUAGGACUGCAGGGUGGUGCCUGUGGUGGAAAACGAUUUUCUAGUUGUUGGGGAUGAGCUCGCGGCCUAUCAGCUUGUUGGUGGGGUAAUGGCCUACCAAGGCGGCGACGGGUAGCCGGCCUGGGAGGGUGGACGGCCACAUUUGGACUGAGAUCCGGCCCAGACUCCUACGGGAUGCAGCAGUGGGGAAUAUGGCACAAUGGGCGGAAGCCUGAUGCAGCGACGCCGCGUGGGGGAUGACGGCCUUCGGGUUGUAAACUCCUUUCGACCGCGAGGAAGCCACCUGGUUGGAAGGGUGGUGACGGUAGUGGUAGAAGAAGCACCGGCUAACUACGUG
RNAcentral lists this ribosomal RNA (494 nucleotides) under uncultured bacterium. RNAcentral's name for it is "partial 16S ribosomal RNA". It matches the Rfam family "Bacterial small subunit ribosomal RNA", at positions 28 to 507 of the family's 1533-position model. The record is from RNAcentral.